This 1629-nucleotide long non-coding RNA is filed under the name Equus caballus (horse). RNAcentral describes it as "lncRNA (ENSECAG00000047526.1)". The record is from RNAcentral. Lineage: Eukaryota; Metazoa; Chordata; Mammalia; Perissodactyla; Equidae.
GAGGUGGGGAAGGAAUUUUGACACCGGUUCUUUCUGAAUGAGGCACCCCUGGCUUCUGGAUGGGAGUGGAGAUCAGCUCAGAGACUGGGAGUACGUGGGCCAGUGGGUCACUGACCUUGCCUUGGCUGCUGUCAAGACCACUGAGGAUGGCACAGUUCAGAAACCAACAUGCUGGAAGCCAGCGAGCAUUGACCAGGAUUCCUCUCCGACAAGACCAAGGCCCCCGGUGACUUAGGUCACUUUCCAAGAGAAGUGUGAGGAAGAGAGUCAAGAAGUGAUUAUUGUCCCCAGGAACGACUGGGUUGGAAGAGAUGGAAGAUUGGCAAAAACCAUAGAAAAUGGCGACUGAAAAGUUGUGUGCUGAUCGAUGGAAAAAAGGAAAGGGCAACAAGUGGAGGAGAGUCAAGACUGCAAUGAGAAUAAAAGAAACGGGGAAAUAGAAACACACGACAACAAUGCCUAAGAGAGCGACAGAGGAAACAUUGAGAAGAAAACAGAUAAGGGAGAAAUACUGCACAGAGAAUGCUACACCAGAAAUUAGCAAGAUCCGUGGAGGCAGGAAGAAAAUAAAGAAGAAAGAUAGAGGUUAUAUGGUCCCAUGUAACAGGAGCCCCCGAUUUCUAUGCUUCCUGGGAUUGUGUUAGAGGUAGGGAGCUAUUCCAUGGCUCCAUAAUUCCCCUCGAGAAACAAGGCAUUUCAAAGUUUCCCAAACCUAGUGUGUACUGGACUGUGAGAGCUAGUUGUUAAAUUUUCAGGAAUUCCGUGAGCUAGCUGUUAAACUGGUUAUUUUAAAAAAAAUAAUAACACUAUAUAAGCUUAAAAUUAAAUAAAUUAUAUUAAAAACACAUAAUAGAUACUAAAAACUCAUCAGGUUCUAAUUAUUUUGGAAUAUUUUACUAUCGAUGUAUCUGCAUCUAUCGUGUGGAAAUAUUAUGCAACGGUGUGUUACUACAUAUCCUUUCGUAACACUGCCUUCAAGUGACUUCAUAUUGGAGGAUUGAAAUCAGCCACAGUGGGAGUAUCUACACCAUAGAGAUCAGCAAUUACUACAAAUUGAGGCUUAACAUAUUGUUUUAUUGAUUGUCUAGAUGUAACAACAUGGUGGAGAAAAUAAUACUGUAGAUUAAACUUAAAAGUGUAUUGUGUCCGUAGCUGUUACAUUGUGUGUAACCCAAGAAAUUGAGGAAAUAGUCUUCCAAUAUUCAAAAACUAUUAUCCAAUUCAUCAAAAAAACGGCUUACAUCAUUGACGAAUGAGUGAUGUUCCAGCAUGUCUUUGUUAUUUCAUUUUUGUCUUAGUCAUGAAAAUAUCAACCAACAUUCAUCUCAGAACUAUACUUGUUCAUCAAUUGCAACUGUUACUGGCUGCGGAUAUAAGAGUUUGCACAAGUCAGUUGAAAUCAUUCUAUAAAAAUCAAUAACCUAUGUGGAAUUUAAAAUAAAAAGUGUCAUAUAUUUAUUAUUUGUAAAUUCCGUGACUCACAUCCUUUGUAUCAGUAAAGUUUAAUAAACUUACAUAAAAUAUUCACAUACAGAAUCUUUUGUACUUGUUGGAGAGCCAGUUGUUAAUCAUUUAUCAGCACACCCCUGGGUGGUUUGGUCACUAACCACUGCCUCACGUGGCAAUGAU